RNAcentral lists this long non-coding RNA (1124 nucleotides) under Monodelphis domestica (gray short-tailed opossum). Its description in RNAcentral is "lncRNA (ENSMODG00000028462.2)". Lineage: Eukaryota; Metazoa; Chordata; Mammalia; Didelphimorphia; Didelphidae. The record is from RNAcentral.
GGAAGAUAAAAUAGGAAAAAUUGAGGAUAAAAUGCAAGCCCAAUUAGAAGAUCUAAAAAGUUUCUUACAGGAUCAAUUGACAAACAACCACUCUACCAGAAAUAGACCUGUUUCUGAACCUUUGAAUGAGGAAAUUUCCUUCCCUGAAAUAGAGAUGGAAAAUACCUUUCCUAUAGCCAAGUUAACAGACUGCUUCUCUCGUGUAGUGCAAAUCUUGUCUGAAUUUAAUCCCCAAAACCCUUCCCCGGCAAUCCCAGAUUCUCAUGUUCCUUCUCCUACAGAAAACCAAAUUCCAAUGCAAGAGAGAUCUUGUCCCCCUAGAAAAACCUGUCCUUGUCAAACUGACCCACAGGUGCAAAAUCCAACUAGAGGCCUGUUUCCUCUAAGAGAAGUACCUGAAAUAGGACGAAAUGGGGAUGUGGUGACUUUAAGACAUAGGAUACCGUUUACUCCCCAAGAAAUAAAUGAAUUUACACGAAAUAUUCCCACAUAUGAACAAGAUCCUUUUCUAGUAACAAAAAAGAUGGGAGACAUAUUUUUUCAAUAUAAUCCGUCUUACAAGGACGUUGAGAGCUUACUACAGGCUUUUUUAAGUGAACGUGAAAAAAAUAAAAUAAUUGCUCAUGUCAACAAAACCCGGGGGCGUAAUGCAGCACAUUGGCCAUCUCAGGAUCCCGAAUGGGACUAUAAUAAUCCUGAGGACUAUCUACAACUAUACCGUUGUAGAGAGGCUAUCCUCACGGCCAUGAAGGAAUGUGCGGACAGUACAGAUAAGUGGAUGGAACUGGAAAAAAUUAAGCAAAAGGAAAACGAAACACCCUCCAGAUUUAUGGACAGAAUUAUCGAGUUUGGGGACAGAUACUUAGAUUGGGACUUAACUAAAGAGAGUAGUAUAAGACAAGUUAGAAGAAUCUUUGUAAACAAUUCUUGCAAAGCAAUUAAAAAUUAUUUCAAAACACAAUGCCCAAGAUGGUCAGAUAUGGACCUUGAAGAAUUGCGAAAAACAGCUAUAUAUGUUUUAAAGGGAAACGAAGAAAAGGAGAAAGAAAAUGAUGAUGACAUGGAGGAAAUGAAGAAAAAAAUGAGAUAUUUAAUAGAUAGGAUAACUAAAUUAGAAAGUGGGC